GAUUUCCCUUUAAUUUGUAACGACAAUUUUUGGGAGAUCAGUUAUAUUUGUACGUUUUUUUCUCGGUUGUGAAAAUUUUUCUCCCUUGGCAAACCGUUUGCAAACCUCUGGCAAGCUGCUUGCAACAUGCAUACCUUAUAUUAUUUCUUCUUUGAUCGUGAUAAUGUAUACCGAUAGACAUUGUGUUCACUACAGAAGCAAUACUCAUUUUGUGGGAAAAUGUUUUAAGAAAAUUGGGUAUCCAGAUUGGUGGGUAACCUAUAGAGUUCAAAAGGGAGCAACUAUGAAUACUUCGAUAGUGAAGACAGAAACCGGUACUUCUUAUGCAAUUGUUGACUCUCAUUCAGUGGUUAAUCCGACCCUUUUUUAGAAACUAGGAUCUCAGCAGCGGGAAGUUAAUUAGGCGAGGUACUAAUAGAGAGAGUUUAUAUUACAUCGAUGACGUUUGUGAAGAGCGAUCUCUGUCAGUUACUUAAAAGGUCUUCUUGUGCAUAUAAAAAUCAAAUCUUAUUGUGGCAUUGUAGGUUAGGACAUGCUUCUUUUGGAUAUUUGAAGCACUUGUUUCCGGAUUUAUAUAAGUUUUGCAACCUCUCAGACUUUAAAUGUGAUACUUGCAUUCUUGCGAAGAGUCAUCGUACUACUUACCUAGAUAGUUUCAGCAGAAGAUAUAUCCCGUUUGAUUUGAUUCAUUCUGAUGUCUGGGGACCUUGUCGUAUUACUAGUACUUCUGGAUUCCGAUGGUUUGUUAUCUUCAUCGAUGAUUGUACCCGUAUGACUUGGUUAUAUUUGAUAAAGAACAAAAGUGAUGUGGCUGAUCGUUUUCAUUCAUUUCAUAAAAUGAUCCAGAUGCAAUUUUAUUUUACUAUACCUUCCCAUCUUAAACUUCCUCCACGGGUAUUUGGUCGUGUAACUUUUGUACACUUGCAGAAACAUGUACGCACCUAGAUAGAUCCAUGUGCUAUCAAAUGUGUCUUUAUUGGGUAUCAUCCGUUUCAGAAAGGUUACAGGUGUUAUCAUCCUCAAACCUAUAAAUUUUAUUUUACUAUGGAUGUCACUUUUUCUGA
Molecule: long non-coding RNA, 1064 nt
Organism: Papaver somniferum (opium poppy)
Lineage: Eukaryota; Viridiplantae; Streptophyta; Magnoliopsida; Ranunculales; Papaveraceae
Exons: 2
Source: RefSeq, a predicted model, not a curated record